GACGAACGCUGGCGGCGUGCUUAACACAUGCCAGUCGAACGCUGAAGCUCAGCUUUUGUUGGGUGGAUGAGUGGCGAACGGGUGAGUAACACGUGAGUAACCUGCCCCCUUCUUUGGGAUAACGCCCGGAAACGGGUGCUAAUACUGGAUAUUCACUGGUCUUCGCAUGGGGGUUGGUGGAAAGGGUUUUUCUGGUGGGGGAUGGGCUCGCGGCCUAUCAGCUUGUUGGUGGGGUGAUGGCCUACCAAGGCUUUGACGGGUAGCCGGCCUGAGAGGGUGACCGGUCACAUUGGGACUGAGAUACGGCCCAGACUCCUACGGGAGGCAGCAGUGGGGAAUAUUGCACAAUGGGCGCAAGCCUGAUGCAGCGACGCCGCGUGAGGGAUGGAGGCCUUCGGGUUGUGAACCUCUUUCGCUCAUGGUCAAGCCGCAACAAUGGUUGUGGUGAGGGUAGUGGGUAAAGAAGCGCCGGCCAACUACGUG
This 483-nucleotide ribosomal RNA is filed under the name uncultured bacterium. RNAcentral describes it as "partial 16S ribosomal RNA". It matches the Rfam family "Bacterial small subunit ribosomal RNA", at positions 28 to 507 of the family's 1533-position model. The record is from RNAcentral.